GUUUGCCAAUCCACCCAAAAUUAUUUGACUAUUUCACUUCCCCCUCACCAAAAUCAAGUUUCCCUCUCAAUUCUCCCAAAACUCACGACCCCGCCGCCUGAUGCCGCCAAAUCGCAUUUCCCUCUCGUAUGUUUCAAUUCUCCCAAAACUCACGUUCCUCCCACCCCCGCCUCACUCACGUUUCCCUCUCAUAGGGUUUCAAUUCUCCCAAAACUCAAGUUCCUCCCUUUCCCAAUUUUAAUUCCUCCCCCAAAUUAGUAUCCUUCCCCUCAUCCUCUUAAUUCGAGCAAGAGAUUGCUUUUCCACUGAUAGCAGGAUUUGUUGCAGCGAAACACCUUCGGCUUUUUUAGGGCAAAAUUUUGUAACUGAAAAUUCCAGAUGAAAAAUCGAACAUUUUUUUAACUAAGAGGGAGUAUUGGAGCUUGAUGAAGGGCUGCUGGAAACAUACGCAAGAGUGGUCGAGCUUGAGGAAGAGCUGCUGGAAAUAGAGGCAAUUGUCAAGGCCAAUGAAAUAACAAAAGUCUAUCAAGUUUGAAGGUGCCCAGCUUGUAGAAAAUACAAGCCCCAAUAUGAGAAGGUUGCAGAGAUUUUUAAUGGAGCAGAUGCUGCCCACCUGAGAAUCAUAUUGUUGACCAGAGUAGAUUGCGCCCAAAAGGUAGUAAAAUAAAAUCCGAAAACCAUCGUCCGAACGCCUGCGAUGAUCGUCCCGACCUUAAGGCCACCGCCCGACUAAGUAUCAGGCGUGUCACCGCAUCAUUCGUCCCAUUGCCGAUUCUUUUAGGCGUCAAUCAAACUCUCUUAUUUUUUACUACCACUUUGUAGCAGAAGAAGAAUGACCUCCGCCGCCUGCGGCCGUGCGGCCGUAUGUUUCAGCUCCAAACCGACCCACUCACCGGCAAAUCAGAGUGGCUCGUUAUCCAAGACGAAGAUGAUCAACUCCAAACAACCCCCAAAUCACUUCUCGCAACCACGUCUUACCUCGACAUGCUCAACGAUUCCCGCCGCAACGCCGCCUACCGUCUCGCCAUCGAUAACACCGUCACUACACCCUCCCACGUCCUCGACAUUGGGGCAGGGACGGGUUUGCUGUCGAUGAUGGCAGCUCGAGCUAUGGGGCUUUCUGAUUCAAAUGGGAUCUCUACUUCUAAAGGGAUGGUGACAGCUUGCGAGUCAUACCUUCCCAUGGUGAAGUUAAUGAGAAAGGUUUUACGAGCCAAUGCCAUGGAGGGGAAAAUUCGUCUCAUAAAUAAGAGGUCCGAUGAGUUGGAAGUUGGCUUGGAUAUCCCAUCGCGUGCUGAUAUUCUCGAAGGAUGGCAUAUCUAGUUUGUGGUGCAAUUGCUUCAGAAACAAAAGCACAAGAAGCAUUUAUCAUCUCUUAUGUGAAUUUUUUCAAUUAUAUUAACUUACAAUGGCUUGGCUGCAUUUCUUUAGCUUUGUAGAUAUUGUAAUAACCGGCGCAUUCAUCCUCUCUAACGAAAUGAAUGAAAUUAAUGAAGUGUUCAACAUAUGUACUUACAUUUGCAGUUUAUUAUGUGGGAUGACCUGCUUGCAUUUAUUCCUCGUAUCUGAACUGCAUAUGUGAAAUAAUGUCUAAGUGUCUUCUUGAUACUGCUUGCUCAAAAUGCUUUUUGACAAUGCUUGAGUUUACA
This is a non-coding RNA of Salvia hispanica, 1649 nucleotides long. Lineage: Eukaryota; Viridiplantae; Streptophyta; Magnoliopsida; Lamiales; Lamiaceae. The record is from RefSeq and is a predicted model, not a curated record.